GCUCAGAUUGAACGCUGGCGGCAGGCUUAACACAUGCAAGUCGAGCGGUAGCACAGGGGAGCUUGCUCCCUGGGUGACGAGCGGCGGACGGGUGAGUAAUGUCUGGGAAACUGCCUGAUGGAGGGGGAUAACUACUGGAAACGGUAGCUAAUACCGCAUAACGUCGCAAGACCAAAGAGGGGGACCUUCGGGCCUCUUGCCAUCAGAUGUGCCCAGAUGGGAUUAGCUAGUAGGUGGGGUAAUGGCUCACCUAGGCGACGAUCCCUAGCUGGUCUGAGAGGAUGACCAGCCACACUGGAACUGAGACACGGUCCAGACUCCUACGGGAGGCAGCAGUGGGGAAUAUUGCACAAUGGGCGCAAGCCUGAUGCAGCCAUGCCGCGUGUGUGAAGAAGGCCUUCGGGUUGUAAAGCACUUUCAGCGAGGAGGAAGGUGGUGAGCUUAAUACGCUCAUCAAUGACGUACUCGCAGAAGAAGC
This 478-nucleotide ribosomal RNA is filed under the name uncultured bacterium. RNAcentral's name for it is "bacterial SSU rRNA". It matches the Rfam family "Bacterial small subunit ribosomal RNA", at positions 22 to 491 of the family's 1533-position model. The record is from RNAcentral.